UUUAUACUUAAUAGGUAAACAGGUGCAAAACCUGUGCUGUCCCGCAGCUGUAAUGUGGAGCUGGCCUUAUAUAGUCACUGGGAAACCGGGAAGACAAGGCUGGCAGUGAAGCAGAGCCAGAAGAACUGCCUGAUAU
This 136-nucleotide non-coding RNA is filed under the name Phascolarctobacterium succinatutens. Lineage: Bacteria; Bacillati; Bacillota; Negativicutes; Acidaminococcales; Acidaminococcaceae. The record is from RNAcentral.